This 378-nucleotide ribosomal RNA is filed under the name Klebsiella pneumoniae. RNAcentral's name for it is "bacterial SSU rRNA". It matches the Rfam family "Bacterial small subunit ribosomal RNA", at positions 632 to 1009 of the family's 1533-position model. Lineage: Bacteria; Pseudomonadati; Pseudomonadota; Gammaproteobacteria; Enterobacterales; Enterobacteriaceae. RNAcentral also lists the same sequence under 1 other name. The record is from RNAcentral.
ACUGGCAGGCUAGAGUCUUGUAGAGGGGGGUAGAAUUCCAGGUGUAGCGGUGAAAUGCGUAGAGAUCUGGAGGAAUACCGGUGGCGAAGGCGGCCCCCUGGACAAAGACUGACGCUCAGGUGCGAAAGCGUGGGGAGCAAACAGGAUUAGAUACCCUGGUAGUCCACGCCGUAAACGAUGUCGAUUUGGAGGUUGUGCCCUUGAGGCGUGGCUUCCGGAGCUAACGCGUUAAAUCGACCGCCUGGGGAGUACGGCCGCAAGGUUAAAACUCAAAUGAAUUGACGGGGGCCCGCACAAGCGGUGGAGCAUGUGGUUUAAUUCGAUGCAACGCGAAGAACCUUACCUGGUCUUGACAUCCACAGAACUUUCCAGAGAUGG